UAUCGGAACGUGCCCAGUCUGGGGGAUAACGUAGAGAAAUUUACGCUAAUACCGCAUACGAUCUAAGGAUGAAANCGGGGGAUUCGCAAGAACCUCACGCGAUUGGAGCGGCUGAUAUCAGAUUAGGUUGUUGGUGAGGUAAAAGCUCACCAAGCCGACGAUCUGUAGCNGGUUUGAGAGAACGACCAGCCACACUGGGACUGAGACACGGCCCAGACUCCUACGGGAGGCAGCAAUGGGGAAUUUUGGACAAUGGGCGAAAGCCUGAUCCAGCAAUGCCGCGUGCAGGAAGAAGGCCUUCGGGUUGUAAACUGCUUUUGUACGGAACGAAAAGGCUCUUUCUAAUAAAGAGGGCCCAUGACGGUACCGUAAGAAUAAGCACCGGCUAACUACGUG
RNAcentral lists this ribosomal RNA (396 nucleotides) under uncultured bacterium. RNAcentral describes it as "bacterial SSU rRNA". It matches the Rfam family "Bacterial small subunit ribosomal RNA", at positions 116 to 507 of the family's 1533-position model. The record is from RNAcentral.